GACGAACGCUGGCGGCGUGCUUAACACAUGCAAGUCGAACGGAAAGGCCCUGCUUUUGUGGGGUGCUCGAGUGGCGAACGGGUGAGUAACACGUGAGUAACCUGCCCUUGACUUUGGGAUAACUUCAGGAAACUGGGGCUAAUACCGGAUAGGAGCUCCUGCUGCAUGGUGGGGGUUGGAAAGUUUCGGCGGUUGGGGAUGGACUCGCGGCUUAUCAGCUUGUUGGUGGGGUAGUGGCUUACCAAGGCUUUGACGGGUAGCCGGCCUGGGAGGGUGACCGGCCACAUGGGGACUGCGGUACGGCGCAGAGUCCUACGGGAGGCAGCGGGGGGGAAUAUUGCACAGUGGGCGGAAGCCUGAUGCAGCAACGCCGCGUGCGGGAUGACGGCCUUCGGGUUGUAAACCGCUUUCGCCUGUGACGAAGCGUGAGUGACGGUAAUGGGUAAAGAAGCACCGGCUAACUACGUG
This 468-nucleotide ribosomal RNA is filed under the name uncultured bacterium. Its description in RNAcentral is "partial 16S ribosomal RNA". It matches the Rfam family "Bacterial small subunit ribosomal RNA", at positions 28 to 507 of the family's 1533-position model. The record is from RNAcentral.